ACUUGCAUCGAAAUCGAUUUGCGAUGAAAGAUUCAGCUUUUCUAGUUUUGUCUCGAUAACUGAAAGAUGUUAACACCUAUUAUAUUUAAACAUGGAUAUUACAUUUAAACUUGCAUAUACUAAUUAUUGAUUUCGUCCAAGAAGAUUAUAAUUUCCGAAAUUCUUGAUAUUGAGAAUAAACACAUAUUAUUGUGGAUGUCUGAUAGGUGAUGAAUGUUGACAUUCACCUGUGAACAUUUACAUAGUCGAUUUGGGAAAUACCUAAAAUAUUUUUUAUCAAAAAUAUUCAAUAAGCGUUGAGUAAAAAAAAAAUAUAUCAGGGAAAUGAACGUAGGAAGUACCAGACAAUGGCCAUAACCCAUAAAGUCAUUCGUGUAAGGAAAGCCGGGGAUCAGGAAAUGGCCUUUAACCGUAAAAAACAUCAGUGUGGCGAAUACAGGGCAAACGUAUUCCGGGUAACGGUUCAUAUAUUUCUAUUGGGAAAAUCUUGGCCUGAACUCUGGAAAAGUUGGCAGCUUUGCAAUAUAACUCUUACCUUCCGGUUUUGGAGCUGAUUCUUUUUCAUCAUUUGUAUUUGAUUGGGCAACUUGUGAUGAAACUUGAAUGGCGGGCAUUGCGUCUGGAUUACUUGGAGACAUUGUAUACUGCAUUGGUCCAUCAUAGCCUAUUUCCAAAAAGAACUACUCCUUGAUUGUUUUUGUUGACACUGUAUCCUGACAUAAGAGGCUUUGCUUCUUCCCCCCUCCAUGCUCUUGCUGUCUGAGGUCUGGAAUCAGAGGCAUGUACCAUGCCUGGAAUUUGCCUCUUCUGCUUUUGUUUCUGCUCCACAAGCUGCCUCUGUCAAGAGAAUAUUAUGUUAGACAUUGAAAGUAUGUAAUGUAUCAGGCUAUAGAGUUAUUUUUCUUUUCAGAUUACAGAGGAAUGUAAAUGUGAAAUAAUUAUACUAAAAGUUCAAUCAACUCUUUGAUCCCUUACCAGUGUUGCCCAAAUCCAGUUCGGGCAACUAUUAUUUGUGACUCCCCAACUGACUUUGGGCAGGAGAAAUAUUAAAGUCUCUAUUUUGUUCUUUACUUUAGGAUAC
Molecule: long non-coding RNA, 1081 nt
Organism: Parasteatoda tepidariorum (common house spider)
Lineage: Eukaryota; Metazoa; Arthropoda; Arachnida; Araneae; Theridiidae
Source: RefSeq, a predicted model, not a curated record